This 74-nucleotide transfer RNA is filed under the name Lactococcus lactis. RNAcentral's name for it is "tRNA-Glu(ctc)". It matches the Rfam family "tRNA". Rfam says of the family: Transfer RNA (tRNA) molecules are approximately 80 nucleotides in length. Their secondary structure includes four short double-helical elements and three loops (D, anti-codon, and T loops). Lineage: Bacteria; Bacillati; Bacillota; Bacilli; Lactobacillales; Streptococcaceae. RNAcentral also lists the same sequence under 6 other names. The record is from RNAcentral.
UUGCCCGUUGGUCAAGGGGUUAAGACGCCGCGUUCUCAGCGCGGAAACACGGGUUCGAAUCCCGUACGGGUGAG